Mya arenaria is the source of this 1978-nucleotide long non-coding RNA. RefSeq lists it as uncharacterized. Lineage: Eukaryota; Metazoa; Mollusca; Bivalvia; Myida; Myidae. The record is from RefSeq and is a predicted model, not a curated record. The transcript is spliced from 3 exons.
UUGUCCAUAAUAAUGAAUGAACUUGUAUAAUAAUAUAAAUUUCUCAUCAUACCGAGUCAUAUGUUUUUGUAGUCAUGGGAGUAAAGUGUUCCCGAUGUACAUGUCAACGACACUGAUGACAUUUUAAUAAGGAUUUGUGUAACUUAUGAAUGACCUUCAUUUACUUGAAAAACUCAAUCUGUCCACGAUAACAUUGUAGAUAAUUGAAAUCUGUUUAUGAGUUUUGAUAACAACAAUAAUGAAUUGACAAGAGAUCACAGUGCACUACAUAACAUCAUAUUGCUAUCUUAUUUCAGGACAGUAUCCAUGUUACCUGCCCGGCCCCCUCCAUUACAGUUGGGACAUUGCCUGCCAGUCUUCUUCCCUAAUCAUGCCUAACCGAUUGGUCCAAUAGUGUUCAAAACUUGAUGGAAAUGCGGUGUCAUCGUAGUUUGGAGUAUGUGCAGAGCACUCGGGACAACAAGCAGUUUAUUUCUUCGAUGAGACUGAAUUGAAAGGGAGCAGACACUGUUGUGAGCAUGAUGAUCACUUCUUCAAGUACCAUGGCUUGGAGAUAAAAAGCCGAAAUUGGCACUUUGGUCUUAGCAGCAAACAGGCCUGGCUUUGUGCGGUGCAGGUUUGCUCCAUCGGUGAUGGUUUAGUUUUCCUGAUGAAAACCAGAGCAGUUGUGUACCCUGAACUCCUUUCCGAAUUCUUCAUCAAGGGGAUGGAUCUUGAAUGGCAGUGGUAUUAACAUGACAAGAUCAGAGAAUACAGCAGAUUAGACAUUGAAAAAGACAGUGUGCCAUAGACAGUCUCAACCAAAGCAUUGAACAAACUGUACAACCUGUUAAUUAACUUUUUAGAGCUGUUUGUUUGGACAAGUGUUUGUCAUUCAGAAAUAAGUAAUAACAUUAUUUCUCAGUAUAAGAAAUCUGCAGGAAUUAGAAGCUGAUAUUUACUUUAACUAUAUAUACAAACCUCUUAGGGGUUUAGCCAGGUUAAAGAAAGACAGGGAGCUACAGAAAAGAGACAGGUUUCCAUGUUUCAAUAGGACACCCUUCAUUUAUCUGUGAAUAAUUUUAACAUUUUGAAUGUUACAGAAAAUGUUAGGAAUAGUGUAUAAUGUUUUAUUGAAGUACUAUUAGGUUUUAAGUGCCAAAUAUUUAAAGCCUGUGUGUAUUUAUAAUCUUGUGAAUAUAAAGUUGUUAUCAAAACAAAAUCAAUAUUUGACUGUCUUAAGCUUUUAAUUCUAUGAAGGCAGGAGGUUGCCAAUCUUACUCUUCAUGACGGGUGCUUCCAAAAAAGAACAGGGUGUAGAAACCUUCCAUAUCUCUUGCUAGAACCCUAAUAUCCUUUUUUCAUCAAAUUACAGUAACAUUGACAAUUAACAAAUGAUGCAGUGAUAUUUUUUUAUGCUAAUAUCAUCAAUUUUUAUUGUCAUUAAGUUUUCUUCUAGAAUUGAUUUGUACAUGUAAUGUAUUGAAAAAUUGAUACUUGAGGUUGCCAUGGUUACAACUUGUUUCUUAGUGUAGUAAUAUGUUUUAUAUAUAUAAAUACAAUAUUGCAUUAUGUAAACUUAUAAUAUUUUAAGAGAUAAUGAUUCAAACACAUGUACAGAGACAAUAAAUACACUACUUUGUAUUUUUGUUGCCAUGGCAAUGUUUCUGUGUAUAUUUGUUACAUUUAUUGUUUUUUAUUACAGGAUUGUCCAUUAGUGAAAUUAUAAUGUGUAUAAUAAGCAUAGCUACAAAAUGCAUAGAUACAUGAAAAUACCUAUUUAUGGAUUUAUAUUUUCUUCAUAUUUCGAUAAUAGAAUAGAUUUUGUACACUGACCCCCCUUGGACUUAAAUCACCUUAGCAACAAAAGUCUUAAACAUUUUGAAUAAAAAAAAAAAUAUAUAUAUAUAAUUUGUAAUAACCAAUGCUUAGGUUAUUUGAGUACUUUUUAAGAGCGGCGUGUGUGAUCCCUUUUACUUUUAAUAUUGAAUUGCAUCGU